Molecule: ribosomal RNA, 425 nt
Filed under: uncultured bacterium
Lineage: Bacteria
Description: partial 16S ribosomal RNA
Rfam family: Bacterial small subunit ribosomal RNA
Source: RNAcentral
GUUAGGAAUAUUGGACAAUGGGCGAAAGCCUGAUCCAGCCAUGCCGCGUGAACGAUGAAGGCCUUCGGGUUGUAAAGUUCUUUAGCCGAUGAUUAUAAUGACUGUAGUCGGAAAAUAAGCCCCGGCUAACUUCGUGCCAGCAGCCGCGGUAAUACGAAGGGGGCGAGCGUUAUUCGGAAUCACUGGGCGUAAAGCGUGCGUAGGCGGUUUUGUAAGUUAGGAGUGCAAGCCCAGGGCUCAACCUUGGAAUUGCUAUUAAAACUGCAAGGCUCGAAUCUCGGAGAGGAUAGCAGAAUUUCCAGUGUAGCAGUGAAAUGCGUAGAUAUUGGAAGGAACACCAGUGGCGUAAGCGGCUAUCUGGACGAGUAUUGACGCUGAGGCACGAAAGCGUGGGGAUCAAACAGGAUUAGAAACCCCUGUAGUCC